Molecule: ribosomal RNA, 251 nt
Filed under: uncultured bacterium
Lineage: Bacteria
Description: partial 16S ribosomal RNA
Rfam family: Bacterial small subunit ribosomal RNA
Source: RNAcentral
UACGUAGGGGGCAAGCGUUAUCCGGAUUUACUGGGUGUAAAGGGAGCGUAGACGGAAUGGCAAGUCUGAUGUGAAAGGCCGGGACUCAACCCCGGGACUGCAUUGGAAACUGUCAAUCUAGAGCACCGGAGGGGUAAGUGGAAUUCCUAGUGUAGCGGUGAAAUGCGUAGAUAUUAGGAGGAACACCAGUGGCGAAGGCGGCUUACUGGACGGUAACUGACGUUGAGGCUCGAAAGCGUGGGGAGCAAAUA